GAUGAAGAACGCAGCGAAAUGCGAUACGUAAUGUGAAUUGCAGAAUUCAGUGAAUCAUCGAGUCUUUGAACGCACAUUGCGCCCGGCAGUACUCUGCCGGGCAUGCCUGUUCGAGCGUCAUUUCAACCCUCAAGCCCUGCUUGGUGUUGGGGUCCCACGGCCGCCGUGGGCCCUGAAAGGAAGUGGCGGGCUCGCUACAACUCCGAGCGUAGUAAUUCAUUAUCUCGCUUAGGGCGUUGGGCGGCGCUCCUGCCGUUAAAGAACCAUCUUUAACUCAAGGUUGACCUCGGAUCAGGUAGGAAUACCCGCUGAACUUAAGCAUAUCAAUAAGCGGAGGA
RNAcentral lists this unclassified non-coding RNA (338 nucleotides) under soil metagenome. Its description in RNAcentral is "partial contains 5.8S ribosomal RNA, internal transcribed spacer 2, and large subunit ribosomal RNA". The stretch from base 1 to 120 matches the Rfam family "5.8S ribosomal RNA", at positions 35 to 154 of the family's 154-position model. The record is from RNAcentral.